This is a long non-coding RNA of Anguilla rostrata (American eel), 2145 nucleotides long. RefSeq lists it as uncharacterized. Lineage: Eukaryota; Metazoa; Chordata; Actinopteri; Anguilliformes; Anguillidae. The record is from RefSeq and is a predicted model, not a curated record. The transcript is spliced from 2 exons.
GCAGUGCAAGGCAAGUUGUAUCAAAGGGCCAUGUGCGCAUUCCCUUGUUUGGAAAGACCAAGCAGCAUUUUUCUGCCUGCAUGUCUGCCUGUUCUAUAAAAAGCUGUGCAUUUGUGCCAAGUUCCUAAAAGCUCUGCAUGUCAGGAAGGUCUCAUGGCACUCUCUUGACUGCAUCACAGAAGCCCUUCACCUCUUACUGUACCUUCAUAUCAGUGGAAUAUCCUUUGCUAUUUCUGUACGUACAGUGCAGCGUGUAAGUGCUUGGACAGUGACACAAUUCUUGUUGUUUUGGCUCUGUACUCCAGCACACUGGAUUUGAAAUGAAACAAUGAAUAUGAGGUAAAGUGCAUACUGUCAGCUUGAUUUGAGGGCGUUUACAUCCAUAUCGUGAUCCAUGUAGGAAUCACAGUGUUAUUUAUACAUAGUCCCCCCAAAUUCAGGUGAGCAACUGACUGCUCAGCUGCGCAAAUACUUAACGCACUGUUCUGCAAACGCGCAGAUGCCCAAGCCCUUGCCUCCAAGAAAUGUAACUGCUCAGUGCAUUUACAUGGUGGAUGGUUUAUGUCCGUCCGCCCAUUAUCUAACCCGCCUAUCCCUCGUCACCGUCACAGGGGGUGCUUGGAGCCUAUGCCAUCAUGCAUUGGGCAAGAAGCAGGAAUACCCCCAUGGACAGGUCACCGAUACAUCACAGGGCACGCACACUAUUUACUCACACAUUCAUAUCUAGGGGCCAUUCAGAAUGUCCGAUUAACCUAGCCUGCAUGUCUUUGUACUGUGGUAGGAAAACGGAGUUGGUUUUUGUCCAAAACACAUUCUUUGUCCACAGCACAUUUGUGAUGAUGAAGUCGGCAAUAAAAAGAACGAAAGAACGCAAAAUAACCCACGUUUGGGGCUUUGUUGUGUUGAGGCGUGUUGAGUUGUAUGUGAAUAUUGUGUGUUUACAUGACGUCGGAAGGUACAGAAGUUAAUGUUCUUUUAAGGGCUGAAAGUCUGUGGUCAUUGUGAAUAUUUCUGUAGGAAACUCUGAAAAGUGACAAACUCAGUGCUGUAUAGGUAAGUGGCAUGCCCCGCCAAGACAUAACAUGGGGAAUGGCAUAUCUGCUUCUGAACUGUGAUCUACCCCCGGUAAGUGUUACAAUUUUUGAUCUGAUUUGUCUCGACGGAUAUUUUGGGAACGUGCUGAUCUCCACCUGUGCAAUGAUAUGCUUUGACCACUAGAUGUCAGCAUGAAGAAAGAGCUGGAGCAGGAGACAUGAAAGAUAACUGUAAACACAGCGAUUUCGAAGGUCUGUAUUGCUGAGUCUUUUGGUUCUGCACAGAAGUCACAAAAACAUGGAAGGACAAAGGAAAUGAUUCAGCAACUUCAGACGUCCUUUCAAAAAUAUGUCACUUGCUAUCAUAAGUUUCUUAGCAGUAAAAUUAUAUUUUUUAACCAAUUGCCCAAAGUACAUUGUCAAGAGAAGCCCGUUGACUUAAAAAAAGAAGGGAAGGAGGAAGAGAUCUGAAGAAUAACAAUGGGUAUAAACACUGGAGGUUCAGCUUCUCAACAGAAAGUAAACACCAACUCGGGAGGAGCAAUCUGACAGUUUGCUGACUAGAGACAUUCUCACAGAGGUGCAAAAGUCACAUACCGAGAGAAAAUGAGAGACCGACAGAGGGAGAGGGUGAGAGAGCAAGAUGGAAAUGGAUCGACAAAUGAAAUACUAAUUUGAUUGUUGCUGACAUUUGAAACAGCCAUAUGCCUUUAAUGGCUGCAAUCACAAUUACAACAACAUAUAAAUUAUUAUUAAGCGCUGUUACGUCCCUGCCUCUGCUUGCCUGGGUAGUGCAGGUGGAGGUAGUUGCUUAAUUACCUAAUUGCCUGAUUGCCUCCACCUGCCUGUGGCCCAAUAUAAGCCCUGCAGUAUGAGGCUGGGGAGAUUUUUCUUUUGGGGCUUUCGUGUUUGUGUAGAGUCUUUCUUUGAGAUCUUCUUGUGGGUUUCUUUUGUGUGUGGCUUGCUUUGUGUUUUUGGUGCUUGUGAAGAUCCUUUUAUUGUGUGAACCUUGUGCGUUUUAGUUUGAUUUAGUUUGGGCCUUAGUUUGUAAUUUAGAUUAAUAAAUGUCUGGGUUUGUUUUUAUAUCAAAAACGAUCCAAAAACUGAUCUA